UGGGGAAUCUUGGACAAUGGGGGCAACCCUGAUCCAGCGACGCCGCGUGGGUGGUAAGGCCUUCGGGUUGUAAACUGCUUUUGCGUGGGACGAUAACGACGGUACCACGCGAAUCAGCCCCGGCUAACUCUGUGCCAGCAGCCGCGGUAAUACAGAGGGGGCAAGCGUUGUCCGGACUUACUGGGCGUAAAGCGCACGCAGGUGGUAACGCAAGUGGGGUGUGAAAGCCGCCAGCUCAACUGGCGGAGGCCAUCCCAAACUGCGUCACUUGAGGCCUGUAGAGGUAUGUGGAAUUGCCGGUGUAGUGGUGAAAUGCGUAGAGAUCGGCAGGAACACCCAGGGGGAAGCCAGCAUACUGGACAGGUCCUGACACUCAGGUGCGACAGCGUGGGGAGCGAACCGGAUUAGAUACCCGCGUAGUCC
RNAcentral lists this ribosomal RNA (423 nucleotides) under uncultured prokaryote. RNAcentral describes it as "bacterial SSU rRNA". It matches the Rfam family "Bacterial small subunit ribosomal RNA", at positions 355 to 796 of the family's 1533-position model. The record is from RNAcentral.